This 86-nucleotide non-coding RNA is filed under the name Clostridium tetani 12124569. The record is from RNAcentral. Lineage: Bacteria; Bacillati; Bacillota; Clostridia; Eubacteriales; Clostridiaceae.
UAACCUAUACAGUGAUGUAUAGCUGAAAUCUAAGAAGUCAGCAGAGGUCAUAUUAGCAAAAGGGUCAAGAACCUUUUGUGAAGGAC